RNAcentral lists this long non-coding RNA (519 nucleotides) under Mus spicilegus (steppe mouse). Its description in RNAcentral is "lncRNA (ENSMSIG00000010053.1)". Lineage: Eukaryota; Metazoa; Chordata; Mammalia; Rodentia; Muridae. The record is from RNAcentral.
CCCACGCUGCGCUGUGCGCUUAUUCCCAGGAGCCUGGAACCUUCCAGACCGGAGCCCAAUACGUUAACGUUCCUCUCUUGCCUGACCCGGUUGGGCCCAGGAGCGGAACUUUCGUCCCUGGGAAAGAAUCGCGUGCGUCCAGGUUCUGGGUCGCGCGUGGAGAGAUGUAGGUCCCCAAGCUGCUGAGCCAGGUCACUUGAAGCUGACCGGCGGUGCGAGGCCACGGGUGGACGGACGGGGUCGCUGUCGGGCAGCGUGGCGCGUUGAUACCCUGCAGUCUAUGCCCAGAGCAUCAUCUGCUGGCUUGUGCUCUCCAGACUCUAAGCCUGUGAAAACAUCUUCUUCUGUUUAUCUCCUCAUGGUAGACCUGAAAGCAAUACUCUGGAGCCUGGAACCUAUAGUCAACACAUUAAUGACCCGCAGAUGAAGGUACCAUCCAGAUGUACAAUCAUCCAAAGUGGUAUGUCCUAAAAUACUUGGCGAUGCAAAUCCUUUAAUUCAGCCACCACCCUCUGUGCA